GGCGGACGGCUGAGUAACGCGUAGGUGACUUGCCCCGAAGUGGGGAAUAACUGCCCGAAAGGGUGGCUAAUACCGCAUGUGUUCGUACGUUCACUCGUACGAGGAAAGCCGUGAGGCGCUUCGGGAGAGGCCUGCGUACGAUUAGCUCGUUGGUGGGGUAACGGCUCACCAAGGCGACGAUCGUUAGGUGGUCUGAGAGGACGAUCACCCAGACUGGGACUGAGACACGGCCCAGACUCCUACGGGAGGCAGCAGUCGGGAAUUUUGCACAAUGGGCGAAAGCCUGAUGCAGCAACGCCGCGUGAGGGAUGAAGGCCUUCGGGUUGUAAACCUCUUUUCUCAGGGACAAUGAUGACGGUACCUGAGGAAUAAGCCACGGCUAACUACGUGCCAGCCGCCGCG
This 402-nucleotide ribosomal RNA is filed under the name uncultured bacterium. Its description in RNAcentral is "bacterial SSU rRNA". It matches the Rfam family "Bacterial small subunit ribosomal RNA", at positions 97 to 519 of the family's 1533-position model. The record is from RNAcentral.